This 253-nucleotide ribosomal RNA is filed under the name uncultured bacterium. RNAcentral's name for it is "partial 16S ribosomal RNA". It matches the Rfam family "Bacterial small subunit ribosomal RNA", at positions 524 to 776 of the family's 1533-position model. The record is from RNAcentral.
UACGUAGGGGGCAAGCGUUGUCCGGAUUUAUUGGGCGUAAAGAGCGUGUAGGCGGUUUGGUAGGUCCGCUGUGAAAACUCGAGGCUCAACCUCGAGACGCCGGUGGAAACCAUCAGACUAGAGUCCGGAAGAGGAGAGUGGAAUUCCUGGUGUAGCGGUGAAAUGCGCAGAUAUCAGGAAGAACACCCGUGGCUAAGGCGGCUCUCUAGUACGGUACUGACGCUGAGGCGCGAAAGCUAGGGGAGCAAACAGG